Molecule: ribosomal RNA, 1372 nt
Filed under: uncultured bacterium
Lineage: Bacteria
Description: 16S ribosomal RNA
Rfam family: Bacterial small subunit ribosomal RNA
Source: RNAcentral
UGAACGCUGGCGGCAGGCCUAACACAUGCAAGUCGAACGGUAACAGGAAGCAGCUUGCUGCUUCGCUGACGAGUGGCGGACGGGUGAGUAAUGUCUGGGAAACUGCCUGAUGGAGGGGGAUAACUACUGGAAACGGUAGCUAAUACCGCAUAAUGUCGCAAGACCAAAGAGGGGGACCUUCGGGCCUCUUGCCAUCGGAUGUGCCCAGAUGGGAUUAGCUAGUAGGUGGGGUAACGGCUCACCUAGGCGACGAUCCCUAGCUGGUCUGAGAGGAUGACCAGCCACACUGGAACUGAGACACGGUCCAGACUCCUACGGGAGGCAGCAGUGGGGAAUAUUGCACAAUGGGCGCAAGCCUGAUGCAGCCAUGCCGCGUGUAUGAAGAAGGCCUUCGGGUUGUAAAGUACUUUCAGCGGGGAGGAAGGUGUUGAGGUUAAUAACCUCAGCAAUUGACGUUACCCGCAGAAGAAGCACCGGCUAACUCCGUGCCAGCAGCCGCGGUAAUACGGGAGGGUGCAAGCGUUAAUCGGAAUUACUGGGCGUAAAGCGCACGCAGGCGGUCUGUCAAGUCGGAUGUGAAAUCCCCGGGGCUCAACCUGGGAACUGCAUUCGAAACUGGCAGGCUAGAGUCUUGUAGAGGGGGGUAGAAUUCCAAGUGUAGCGGUGAAAUGCGUAAAGAUCUGGAGGAAUACCGGUGGCGAAGGCGCCCCCUGGACAAAGACUGACGCUCAGUGCGAAAGCGUGGGGAGCAAACAGGAUUAGAUACCCUAGUAGUGCACGCCGUAAACGAUGUCGACCGGAGGUUGUGCCCCUGAGGCGUGGCUUCCGGAGCUAACGCGUUAAGUCGACCGCCUGGGGAGUACGGCCGCAAGGUUAAAACUCAAAUGAAUUGACGGGGGCCCGCACAAGCGGUGGAGCAUGUGGUUUAAUUCGAUGCAACGCGAAGAACCUUACCUACUCUUGACAUCCAGAGAACUUUCCAGAGAUGGAUUGGUGCCUUCGGGAACUCUGAGACAGGUGCUGCAUGGCUGUCGUCAGCUCAUGUUGUGAAAUGUUGGGUUAAGUCCCGCAACGAGCGCAACCCUUAUCCUUUGUUGCCAGCGGUUAGGCCGGGAACUCAAAGGAGACUGCCAGUGAUAAACUGGAGGAAGGUGGGGAUGACGUCAAGUCAUCAUGGCCCUUACGAGUAGGGCUACACACGUGCUACAAUGGCGCAUACAAAGAGAAGCGACCUCGCGAGAGCAAGCGGACCUCAUAAAGUGCGUCGUAGUCCGGAUUGGAGUCUGCAACUCGACUCCAUGAAGUCGGAAUCGCUAGUAAUCGUGGAUCAGAAUGCCACGGUGAAUACGUUCCCGGGCCUUGUACUCACCGC